AGAUUGAACGCUGGCGGCAUGCCUUACACAUGCAAGUCGAACGGUAGAGUAGCAAUACUUGAGAGUGGCGAACGGGUGAGUAAUAUAUCGGAACGUGCCCAGUCGUGGGGGGAUAACGUAGAGAAAUUUACGCUAAUACCGCAUACGAUCUAAGGAUGAAAGCGGGGGACCGUAAGGCCUCGCGCGAUUGGAGCGGCUGAUAUCAGAUUAGGUUGUUGGUGAGGUAAAAGCUCACCAAGCCGACGAUCUGUAGCUGGUUUGAGAGAACGACCAGCCACACUGGGACUGAGACACGGCCCAGACUCCUACGGGAGGCAGCAGUGGGGAAUUUGGACAAUGGGCGAAAGCCUGAUCCAGCAAUGCCGCGUGCAGGAAGAAGGCCUUCGGGUUGUAAACUGCUUUGUACGGAACGAACGGUCUGCUUUAAUACAGUGGCUAAUGACGGUACCGUAAGAAUAAGCACCGGCUAACUACGUACGCCAGCAGCCGACGGUAA
This 496-nucleotide ribosomal RNA is filed under the name uncultured soil bacterium. Its description in RNAcentral is "bacterial SSU rRNA". It matches the Rfam family "Bacterial small subunit ribosomal RNA", at positions 26 to 523 of the family's 1533-position model. The record is from RNAcentral.